UCGCGGUCCGCAUCCUGCGGAUCGCCCUUCGCCCGGAUCGCAGGAUCCGGGCACUUUUUUGCGCGGU
Molecule: small RNA, 67 nt
Filed under: Sinorhizobium medicae
Lineage: Bacteria; Pseudomonadati; Pseudomonadota; Alphaproteobacteria; Hyphomicrobiales; Rhizobiaceae
Description: suhB
Source: RNAcentral